UCCUUUUGAGUGGCAUAUCCAAAUUAGGUGCUCAGAACUAUCAAUAUAUAAGACAUGCAUUUUGUUCAAAGAGAUAUAGAGCUGGAAGUGUCAUAUAUUUGUGCUGCUGUUGAGGAAUGAUAGAGCAAAUCUCUAUUGGCAGAACGAAGUAGAAAGCUUGGACAUGCAUGCUUCUGGUUUGCCAAAGGAGAUUUGCCCUGCCAUUUUUGACAGCUUUUGAUUAAGACUAACACAUCAUAUUAAUUACUUUCUUUUUGUUUUCCAUAGUCGGUCCAUGACACGUCUCCCAUACUUGUGAUAGAUAUUGUGCAGAUUGUUAAUUGUGUAUCACAUGGAGACUGAAGAGCCAAAAGAUUGUCCAAUGAAGCCAUAAGAAGAAUGCACUAUAUUGUGAUGAUCGAUGAAGUUAACCAAAACACUGAAGCUUUAUCUAGCAAUUAGAAUUUCUAUAAUGUACUAUUUAUUAGUGAGCAUUACUGCAGAAAUCUUAUUCUUUCCUUUUAAUAAAGAAUUCUAGCUUUAUCAAACAAGAGUUUCUGCAUAAACUAUGGAUAUACUUUUAUACCAGAUGUCUGCAUCUCUGGAACUUAA
This is a long non-coding RNA of Medicago truncatula (barrel medic), 591 nucleotides long. RefSeq lists it as uncharacterized. Lineage: Eukaryota; Viridiplantae; Streptophyta; Magnoliopsida; Fabales; Fabaceae. The record is from RefSeq and is a predicted model, not a curated record. The transcript has 2 exons.